Molecule: non-coding RNA, 553 nt
Organism: Ictalurus furcatus (blue catfish)
Lineage: Eukaryota; Metazoa; Chordata; Actinopteri; Siluriformes; Ictaluridae
Source: the annotation of a RefSeq genome assembly
CUGACUGAUAAUGAAUGAAGAUCUUAGGCUACUGGUUGUUUUCAACAGCUUAGUGAUGUCAUUUCCUGUUGCUGAUGAAAACUGAUAAAAUGACAGUGAAGUAAAGAAACAGCCAGGUUAUUAGUUUGCUUCUGCAUAUCAUGGGUCUGGAGUAUGUCGGGUUUGCCUUGCUUAUCAUUACGAAAUCUUUACAUGGAGUAAGCAUUAUUCAAAAUCCAACUUUACUUAUCAAGAAAGGUGGUGAAUCAGUGGAAAUUGUAUGUCAGCAUGAUGACACCUCUCAUUACUGCAUGUACUGGUACAGACAGAGAAGUUUGGGUGAAAUGGACAUGAUCACUAUGUCUUUUGGGAAAGAUAUGGCUCAAACAGUUGAACCAUACAAUGAGAGCAAAUACUCUAUGAUCCGUACUGAGGUGAAACACUCGACCCUGCAGCUCAAGGCACUAGAAGCGAAUGAUUCAGCUGUGUACUUCUGUGCAUCGAGUAGCACAGUGUUUUAGCUGAGCUACACAAAUGAGCAAUAACCUCAGCAUUCACGUCACUGAAGAGUCAA